This 1717-nucleotide long non-coding RNA is filed under the name Phocoena sinus (vaquita). RNAcentral describes it as "lncRNA (ENSPSNG00000013278.1)". The record is from RNAcentral. Lineage: Eukaryota; Metazoa; Chordata; Mammalia; Artiodactyla; Phocoenidae.
GUUUCCUCUUGCUUUGUCCCUUCCAGAAAGAUGAAAGUCUAAAUUAUGGCAAAAUGUAGCUUCCCUCACCUGCCACACACCCCUGGACUAACACUCAGAGAAAAGAAUUGUUCACAUCAAAUGAAAUUUGAGUAAUAGCUAUAAAAAAUAUAAAACACCAAAAGCUGCCUAAAACAUUAUUGUUUAUUCUGAAUGACAAAGAACAGUGUAAAAAUGCAAUUCUUACCAAAACUUGCCUUUAGUCAGAACAUUCAAGUUCUCAGGGAGCCAGGCAUAACUGAUGAAACUUUCUUGUAGGAUUUCAGAAAACAGAUUCUGACUAUAUCUAGGGUUUUAUGUUAUUUUCAAUCUUUUGAAUGUUGAGUUCUUUGUCAUUUUAAUGUUUCACAUCUCUGUUGCACGAUAGAAUUGUCACGUGUACCGAUUCCAGUGUUGGAUAGGAUUAUCUUAUGUUUGGAACAUGAAUAUGAUACAUGGAAAUAUGUUUAAAUGUUUUGGGCCAUAUAAUUAGCCAUAAUGUGUAUGAAAAAUCUUACCCCCUUCUAUCAGGAAGAGUUUUUAAAACAAAUUUCAGAUUUGCUACUAUUCCCCUGACAAACUACAACUCCUCCCGGCUAGUCAUCAGUUCUGUUCACCUGCAGAAGUCACUAGCCAAACCUUCCUUAUCACCCUUCUAAAUUUCUGGAAGCAAGUUACUAUCAGGAUCAAUAAUGAGUUCUGUAAGCUUCUUCCCAAACACUAGGGUUUGGUUACUAAUGCAAACUCUGUUGUUCUUCAUGCCAUAGUUUUUAGGUUUACUUCUUUAUUUCAAUCCUACACUCCAGUGUUUAGGUAACUUUUGAAAUGAUGUAGCACUGAUGCCAUGAACUCUGAGACCACCACUUAACACACAAAAUUGUGAUGUUUGAUGCCACCUUUACUGCAAUGUUGGAGCAGAUCUUCAAUUUGGAAGAGGAUUUUAAAUGAACAAAAUUAAGUUUAUUCAAUUAUAAUUUUAAGACUUUAGUUGAUACUUGAUUUCCAAGAACGUGUAGUGCAUUUUUCAAAAAAUAAACAUGGAUGUUAUUAGAACAAAGUUGAAGGCUUAUGCUAGCAUCGGUUCAUUUUAUUUACAUACACACACAGAUACACAAUGAUGAGCUUGCACUCACACACAGACACACACACGCCACAUGUAUACAAAAUGUAAUCUAUUAGUUUUGGAUAUGUUUAAUAUUUUUCUAAAGUUGUAAGAGGUUGUAGGUUAAUGCUAGGAUAUUAAUUCUUUUAUUCCUUACUUGUAAUCAUGGAGUAUUCUGUUCUCUUAGUUGUAAUGUUAAAACUAAAUGCUCAAACUUGGUCAGCGACCUAAGUGGUUUUGAGCAUUUCUUGUAAGGUGUAGUGUUCCUUCACUAACAUACAUCAGGGUAUAUCUGUGUGGCACAUAGAUACGGUGUUUUCAUUCUUCAUCCUCAGUCUUCAUUGUUCCUCUGAUAUCACCAUGCUUCACUGUCACUUAGCAAAUGUUUGUGUUAAACAGGGUAAACAGAGAUCCUCAAGGUCUCAUUGUUGUGGCCUAGCUCCAAUGUGUGUGCUGUGGUGAGCUGCAGUGAGUUAUCUGCGAAACAUUAUUGUUUGAUAGUGAAAAUAUUUGUUUCUGUUCUUCAGGUGUCUCAUGAUUCAAAUUUUGUAUGUUGAAUUAAAGUAUUGCAUAAUAUUGAUGGGUUCAGAAACCAUU